This 484-nucleotide ribosomal RNA is filed under the name uncultured bacterium. RNAcentral's name for it is "partial 16S ribosomal RNA". It matches the Rfam family "Bacterial small subunit ribosomal RNA", at positions 30 to 507 of the family's 1533-position model. The record is from RNAcentral.
AUUGAACGCUGGCGGCAUGCCUUACACAUGCAAGUCGAGCGGUAAAAGGCAGUUGGGUGCUGACGUGUGGCGCACGCGGGUGUAAAGUGCCUAGAAGUACCCAGGGGAGGGGGAGAUAACAUCGAGAAAUGUGCUCUUAUAGCGCGUACGCUGUGGGUGAGAGCGUGGGGGAUCUUCGCACUUCUCGCUAUCAGACCAGUCUAGGUCGGGUUGGCUAGUUGGUGGGGUAAAGGCCUACCAAGGCGACGAUCCGUAGCUGGUCUGAGAGGAUGAUCAGUCACACUGGGACUGAGACACGGUCCAGACUCCUACGGGAGGCAGCAGUGGGGAAUUUUGGACAAUGGGCGCAAGCCUGAUCCAGCAAUGCCGCGUGCGUGAAGAAGGUCUUCGGGUUGUAAAGCGCUUUUAGCAGGGACGAAGGGGUGUAAGCUAAUACCUUGCGGUAAUGACGUUACCAGCAGAAUAAGCACCGGCUAACUACGUG